Molecule: ribosomal RNA, 570 nt
Filed under: uncultured bacterium
Lineage: Bacteria
Description: partial 16S ribosomal RNA
Rfam family: Bacterial small subunit ribosomal RNA
Source: RNAcentral
UGGGGAAUAUUGGACAAUGGGCGCAAGCCUGAUCCAGCAAUGCCGCGUGUGUGAAGAAGGCCUUCGGGUUGUAAAGCACUUUUAUCAGGAGCGAAACGCUGUCGGCUAAUACCCGGCGGAACUGACGGUACCUGAGGAAUAAGCACCGGCUAACUUCGUGCCAGCAGCCGCGGUAAUACGAAGGGUGCAAGCGUUAAUCGGAAUUACUGGGCGUAAAGCGUGCGUAGGCGGUUUCUUAAGUCUGCUGUGAAAUCCCCGGGCUCAACCUGGGAAUGGCAGUGGAUACUGGGAGGCUAGAGUGUGUCAGAGGGUGGUGGAAUUCCCGGUGUAGCGGUGAAAUGCGUAGAGAUCGGGAGGAACAUCAGUGGCGAAGGCGGCCACCUGGGACAACACUGACGCUGAGGCACGAAAGCGUGGGGAGCAAACAGGAUUAGAUACCCUGGUAGUCCACGCCCUAAAGCGAUGCGAACUGGAUGUUGGUCUCAACUCGGAGAUCAGUGUCGAAGCUAACGCGUUAAGUUCGCCGCCUGGGGGAGUACGGUCGCAAGACUGAAACUCAAAGGAAUUGAC